GACGAACGCUGGCGGCGUGCUUAACACAUGCAAGUCGAACGGAAAGGCCCCUUUGGGGGUACUCGAGUGGCGACCGGGUGAGUAACACGUGAGUAACCUGACCUUGCCUUCGGGAUAACUUCAGGAAACUGAGGCUAAUACCGGAUAGGAAUAAUAGCUGCAUGGGGGGGGUUGGAAAGCUUCGGCGGGUUUGGCUGGACUCGCGGCAUAUCAGCUUGUUGGUGGAGUAGUGGGUUACCAAGGCGUUGACGGGUAGCCGGCCUGUGAGGGCGACCGGCGAUAUUGGGUCUGACAUGAGGCCGAGACUGCGACGGGACGGAGCAGUGGGGAAGAUUGCAGAAGGGGCGGAAGCCGGAUGCAGCAGGGCCGCGGGCGGGAUGACGGUCUUAGGGUUGUAAACCGCAUUCAGCAGGGGCGAAGCUUGUGGUGACGGUACCUGCAGAAGAAGCACCGGCUAACUACGUG
RNAcentral lists this ribosomal RNA (465 nucleotides) under uncultured bacterium. Its description in RNAcentral is "partial 16S ribosomal RNA". It matches the Rfam family "Bacterial small subunit ribosomal RNA", at positions 28 to 507 of the family's 1533-position model. The record is from RNAcentral.